UCUCUGCUAGUAUAUCGGUUAGUACACGCGCCUGUCAUUCCUUGCGUUGUCGCAUUGAUUUCAAACGCGCGAAAGCUGGGUUCGACUCCCAGGCAGAGAG
RNAcentral lists this transfer RNA (100 nucleotides) under Termitomyces sp. T159_Od127. Its description in RNAcentral is "tRNA-Asp". The record is from RNAcentral. Lineage: Eukaryota; Fungi; Basidiomycota; Agaricomycetes; Agaricales; Lyophyllaceae.